Molecule: ribosomal RNA, 484 nt
Filed under: uncultured bacterium
Lineage: Bacteria
Description: partial 16S ribosomal RNA
Rfam family: Bacterial small subunit ribosomal RNA
Source: RNAcentral
AUUGAACGCUGGCGGCAGGCCUAACACAUGCAAGUCGAGCGGAUGAAGGGAGCUUGCUCCUGGAUUCAGCGGCGGACGGGUGAGUAAUGCCUAGGAAUCUGCCUGGUAGUGGGGGAUAACGUCCGGAAACGGGCGCUAAUACCGCAUACGUCCUGAGGGAGAAAGUGGGGGAUCUUCGGACCUCACGCUAUCAGAUGAGCCUAGGUCGGAUUAGCUAGUUGGUGGGGUAAAGGCCUACCAAGGCGACGAUCCGUAACUGGUCUGAGAGGAUGAUCAGUCACACUGGAACUGAGACACGGUCCAGACUCCGACGGGAGGCAGCAGUGGGGAAUAUUGGGCAAUGGGCGAAAGCCUGAUCCAGCCAUGCCGGGUGUGUGAAGAAGGUCUUCGGAUUGGAAAGCACUUUAAGUUGGGAGGAAGGACAGUAAGUUAAUACCUUGCUGUUUUGACGUUACCAGCAGAAUAAGCACCGGCUAACUCCGUG